ACUCCUACGGGAGGCAGCAGUGGGGAAUUUUGGACAAUGGGCGAAAGCCUGAUCCAGCCAUGCCGCGUGCAGGAUGAAGGCCUUCGGGUUGUAAACUGCUUUUGUACGGAACGAAACGGCCUUUUCUAAUAAAGAGGGCUAAUGACGGUACCGUAAGAAUAAGCACCGGCUAACUACGUGCCAGCAGCCGCGGUAAUACGUAGGGUGCAAGCGUUAAUCGGAAUUACUGGGCGUAAAGCGUGCGCAGGCGGUUAUGUAAGACAGUUGUGAAAUCCCCGGGCUCAACCUGGGAACUGCAUCUGUGACUGCAUAGCUAGAGUACGGUAGAGGGGGAUGGAAUUCCGCGUGUAGCAGUGAAAUGCGUAGAUAUGCGGAGGAACACCGAUGGCGAAGGCAAUCCCCUGGACCUGUACUGACGCUCAUGCACGAAAGCGUGGGGAGCAAACAGGAUUAGAUACCCGGGUAGUCCCA
Molecule: ribosomal RNA, 471 nt
Filed under: uncultured organism
Description: partial 16S ribosomal RNA
Rfam family: Bacterial small subunit ribosomal RNA
Source: RNAcentral